GAUGAACGCUGGCGGAGUGCCUAACACAUGCAAGUCGAGCGGCAGCGCGAGUAGUUUACUACUUGGCGGCGAGCGGCGGACGGCUGAGUAACGCGUGGGAACAUGCCCCAAAGUGAGGAAUAACUGCCCGAAAGGGUAGCUAAUGCCGCAUACGAUCUUCGGAUUAAAGGAUUUAUCCGCUUUGGGAGUGGCCUGCGUACGAUUAGAUAGUUGGUGAGGUAAUGGCUCACCAAGUCUACGAUCGUUAACUGGUUUGAGAGGAUGAUCAGUCAGACUGGAACUGAGACACGGUCCAGACUCCUACGGGAGGCAGCAGUGAGGAAUCUUCCACAAUGGACGAAAGUCUGAUGGAGCAACUCCGCGUGCAGGAUGAAGGCCUUCGGGUCGUAAACUGCUUUAUGAGUGAAGAAUAUGACGGUAACUCAUGAAUAAGGGUCGGCUAACUACGUGCCAGCAG
This 457-nucleotide ribosomal RNA is filed under the name uncultured bacterium. RNAcentral describes it as "bacterial SSU rRNA". It matches the Rfam family "Bacterial small subunit ribosomal RNA", at positions 28 to 514 of the family's 1533-position model. The record is from RNAcentral.